CAAACACGCUCCCAACCCCUCAUCGGGAGUGGGAUGCGGCUUGUGGCCCCCCGUCUCGCAAGGGGCGGUGGGCCGAAGAUGCGGCUGCCGGCGUAUCGUGUCGGACACAGCGCGUGGUGGGCGACCUCGCUUUACUUACCGCAGUGCAUCCGGCCCGUAGCCGAUGUGAUGGCCUUGAAGGACCCUAUAAACGGAGCGCAUGACGCUUCGA
RNAcentral lists this unclassified non-coding RNA (211 nucleotides) under Phleum alpinum. RNAcentral's name for it is "partial internal transcribed spacer 2". Lineage: Eukaryota; Viridiplantae; Streptophyta; Magnoliopsida; Poales; Poaceae. The record is from RNAcentral.